This is a long non-coding RNA of Bactrocera neohumeralis, 1504 nucleotides long. RefSeq lists it as uncharacterized. The record is from RefSeq and is a predicted model, not a curated record. NCBI's taxonomy places the organism in Eukaryota, Metazoa, Arthropoda, Insecta, Diptera, Tephritidae. The transcript is spliced from 3 exons.
CAUAAGUACAUAUAAUCAACAUAUGAAAGUGCAAUGUGCAAUAGAAUCAUUAACCUUAGAGUUUGGAACGAACAUUGGAACCAGAAGCCAGAUGAUUAAUAGUUGUGUGCCCUAAUAGAACACAAAAAAAUAAAUAAUAAUAGAUUGAGUGUAAAUUUAAAAAGAGCGCUCUUAAUGUGACUUUGACAACAGUGAUGAGUAUAGUGGCCUAAACAAUUCACUCACAGAGUCACUGUCAACACUUUGGCGAAGUAGAUAUACCAACUAGUGAACAUAUAUUCGUGCAUUCUAAAAUAGUCGUUCUCUAGGGGGCAGAAGGUGUAGCAAUGAAUGGAAAACUCUUUGACGUUAGACAAAAUAUAUUGCUUCUCUUACCAGUUGGCAUAUCUUCGCUAAGUCCAUUCUGCAUUCUAAUUAUUUUGCAGUGAACAUCCUAUCAUUGCAGCUUUGUGUACAAAUGUGUGUGUAGAGUUUCCCCUAAACUUUAGAUAGAAAUAGGCAGAAGAAAAUCAUUUGAAGAUUACCCAUGUAGUUUGCUAGAAUCUGAAGAAAAGUAGUCAUCUACCAAUAAUCCUGCGUGAUUGUAAAAGUCUGUCGAGUUCCAUAACUGAGCUCACGAAUGAAAAUAUACCAACACUAGAACCAAUGAAAAGAGUUUUGGAAAAAAACUUCGCACGAUUUUUCUUCAUCAACAUUUUGUACCAGAAACGCAGAAGAUGACAGUAAGAGGCAUUUUUGUAAUUUAAACUUACUUGGUCACGAAUGCGCCAUCCAAUCGAGUAGUCGUACUGCACUGCUGCACUCUCAUCAACACGAGCACAUUCAAAUGCAGGCGCAUGAGACACCAGUUCGAACCGUAGCACAUUUCUGUACAAAUAUGAUGUGCACAAAUACACUUGAAUAUAUAUACCCAUACAUAUGUGUAAAUACAUACAAACAUGGUUACAUGCCUAUGCACAUGUAACGAUGACACAGAUCCGAGAUAUGCUUGAAUGCACUUUCAAGUGUAUAGAUCGCAAGUGUUGUUUCUUUGAAAAUUUGUCGCACAAAAAGCCAGGAAAGAUCACCCGUUCUAACUAUAGGUCCUUGGUUAGGCUGAGCGAAUCGGAUCCAUUUGGAAUCAGGGCUGAGGUAGAGGAAAAUGACCGGCGAAAUAUUUGGGAACAAUUUAAACGGUAACUAUCUGGACAAUUUACCGUUGGCUCGGAUUUUUCUUCACGAUAAUGACCUCAAGUCAUUAAAACUUGAGUAACUAGUCAAAAUAUUAAAAUUCUGUAUCAGCCAGCUCAAAAUCCGGUACUAUAGAAAACCUAUGGGCGAUUAUAAAAAUAAUAGCUGCACAAAAACCUCUCAACAAACAUUUAUGUGAAAUAAUAAUCCCAAUGUGAUAUGCAAUAAAGGAUACCCAACUAAUUAGCUUUAGGUGUUUUAUUAUAUGUGCACAACAUUUUGGAUGGGCUAAGCGAAUGAACGUAAUACAUACGAAUUCUUACAAAUUGUAAAA